Molecule: non-coding RNA, 403 nt
Organism: Labrus bergylta (ballan wrasse)
Lineage: Eukaryota; Metazoa; Chordata; Actinopteri; Labriformes; Labridae
Source: RefSeq, a predicted model, not a curated record
UACCCCCACAGUUACCCCCACAGGAUAAAGCAGCAUCAGUCUGACCUGGAGGAUGAUCUGUGAUACUGCAGCUCAGCACCAGGACCUCGGAUUUUCCGCAGCAGGGAUGGAAGAUUCUUCUAGAAGUUGUUGGAAACAGGAACUUUCUUGGACGGACUCUUCUCUCCCCCUGAAUCCAUCUCAUCUGUUCAUCACUGCCUUUUUGAUUUCUAUUCUUCUGAACAAACUCCAGACCACAAAAUAAAAACAUCCCCAAAAUGUUCUCCUGUUCGAUCACAGACUCUGGUGCUCCACGCCAACAUAUCGCCACAUGGAACAGUAGAGUUAAAUUCAGUGUUUUUAAAGAGCGUUGCAACCAUAGACUGUAAAUAUUAAUGGACAAAGCCUGAGUGACGUCACCCGU